AACGCACAUUGCGCCCGGUAGUAUUCUACCGGGCAUGCCUGUUCGAGCGUCAUUUCAAACCCUCAAGCCCUGUUGCUUGGUGUUGGGAAUCUGCGUUAGCAGUUCCUUAAAUCUAGUGGCGGAGCGGAUCGUACUCUAAGCGUAGUAAAUUAUUCUCGCUUGCGAGUGCCUUCGUUCCCGCCGUAAAACCCCUUAUUUUACAGGUUUGACCUCGGAUCAGGUAGGAAUACCCGCUGAACUUAA
Molecule: unclassified non-coding RNA, 243 nt
Filed under: uncultured Xylariales
Lineage: Eukaryota; Fungi; Ascomycota; Sordariomycetes; Xylariales
Description: sequence contains 5.8S rRNA gene, ITS2, 28S rRNA gene
Rfam family: 5.8S ribosomal RNA (bases 1-52)
Source: RNAcentral